RNAcentral lists this ribosomal RNA (497 nucleotides) under uncultured bacterium. RNAcentral describes it as "partial 16S ribosomal RNA". It matches the Rfam family "Bacterial small subunit ribosomal RNA", at positions 28 to 507 of the family's 1533-position model. The record is from RNAcentral.
GAUGAACGCUGGCGGCGUGCCUAAUACAUGCAAGUCGAGCGAACGGACGAGGAUCUUGCUUCGCUGAUGUGAGCGGCGGACGGGUGAGUAACACGUGUAUAACCUACCUAUAAGACUGGGAUAACUUCGGGAAACCGUAGCUAAUACGGGAUAAUAUUUUGAACCGCAGGGGUCAAAAGAGAAAGACGGCCGUUCUGUCACUUAUAGAGGGAUCCGGGCUGCAUGAGCUAGUUGGUAAGGUAACGGCUUUCCAAGGCAACGAUGCACAGCCGAACUCAGAGAGUGAUAGGCCACACGGGAGCUUGGACACGGUCAAGAGGACUACGAGAGGCAGCAGUAGGGAAUGUUCCGCAAUGGGCGAAAGCAUGACGGAGCAACGCGGCGUGAGUGAUGAAGGUGUUGGGAUCGUAAAACUCUGUUAUUAGGGAAGAACCUCUGUGUCAGUAACUGUGGACUUCUUGACGGUACCUAGUAAGAAAGCACCGGCUAACUACGUG